This 633-nucleotide ribosomal RNA is filed under the name uncultured bacterium. RNAcentral's name for it is "bacterial SSU rRNA". It matches the Rfam family "Bacterial small subunit ribosomal RNA", at positions 156 to 795 of the family's 1533-position model. The record is from RNAcentral.
AGGACUGCUAAUACCGCAUGCGGUUGCGCGGGGUUUGAGACCCGCGUUCCAAAGGCGCGAGCAAUCGUUCCGCUUUCGGAGGGGCCUGCGACCCAUCAGCUAGUUGGUAGGGUAACGGCCUACCAAGGCAACGACGGGUAGGGGACCUGAGAGGGUGACCCCCCACACUGGCACUGACACACGGGCCAGACUCCUACGGGAGGCAGCAGUCGGGAAUAUUGCCCAAUGGACGAAAAUCUGAGGCAGCAACGCCGCGUGCGCGAUGAAGGCCUUCGGGUCGUAAAGCGCUUUUCGGGUGGAUGAGAGCGGACAGUACACCCGGAAUCAGGUACGGCUAACUACGUGCCAGCAGCCGCGGUAAAACGUAGGUACCGAGCGUUAUCCGGAUUUACUGGGCGUAAAGCGCGUUCAGGCGGUUUGGCAAGUCGGGCAUGAAAUCUCUCGGCUCAACCGGGAGAGGUUGUCCGAUACUGCCGGACUAGAGGGCAGCAGAGGGUGGUGGAAUUCCGGGUGUAGUGGUGAAAUGCGUAGAGAUCCGGAGGAACACCAGUGGCGAAAGCGGCCACCUGGACUGCACCUGACGCUCAAACGCGAAAGCUAGGGGAGCGAACGGGAUUAGAAACCCCGGUAGUC